AUUGAACGCUGGCGGAAUGCUUUACACAUGCAAGUCGAACGGCAGCACGGACUUCGGUCUGGUGGCGAGUGGCGAACGGGUGAGUAAUGUAUCGGAACGUGCCCAGUCGUGGGGGAUAACGUAGUGAAAAUUACGCUAAUACCGCAUACGAUCUAUGGAUGAAAGCGGGGGAUCGGAAGACCUCGCGCGAUUGGGGGGGCCGAUAUCAGAUUAGGUAGUUGGUGGGGUAAAGGCCCACCCAGCCAACGAUCUGUAGCUGGUCUGAGCGGACGAACAGCCACACUAGAGCUGAGACACGGUCCAGACGCCUACGGGAGGCAGCAGUUGUGAAUUAUGGACAAUGGGCGAAAGCCUGAUACAGCCAUUCCGCGUGCAGGAUGAAGGCCCUCGGUUUGUACACUGCUUUUGUACAGAACAAAAAGGUUUCUACUAAUACUAGGAGCUCAUGACAGUACUGUAAGAAUAAGCACCGGCUAACUACGUGCCAGCAGCCGCGGUAA
Molecule: ribosomal RNA, 500 nt
Filed under: uncultured bacterium
Lineage: Bacteria
Description: partial 16S ribosomal RNA
Rfam family: Bacterial small subunit ribosomal RNA
Source: RNAcentral